This 494-nucleotide ribosomal RNA is filed under the name uncultured bacterium. RNAcentral describes it as "partial 16S ribosomal RNA". It matches the Rfam family "Bacterial small subunit ribosomal RNA", at positions 28 to 507 of the family's 1533-position model. The record is from RNAcentral.
GACGAACGCUGGCGGCGUGCUUAACACAUGCAAGUCGAACGGUGAAGCGCCUUCCUUUUUGGUGGGUGUGGAUGAGUGGCGAACGGGUGAGUAACACGUGAGUAACCUGCCCCCUUCUUCUGGAUAACCGCAUGAAAGUGUGGCUAAUACGGGAUAUUCUGGGUCUGUCGCAUGAUGGGUCUGGGAAAGAUCUUGUUUCGGUGGGGGAUGGGCUCGCGGCCUAUCAGCUUGUUGGUGGGGUGAUGGCCUACCAAGGCGGUGACGGGUAGCCGGCCUGGGAGGGUGGACGGCCACACUGGGACUGAGACCCGGCCCAGACUCCGACGGGAGGCAGCGGAGGGGAAUAUUGUACAAUGGGCGCAAGCCUGAUGCAGCGACGCGGCGGGAGGGAUGGAGGCGUUCGGGUUGUGAACCUCUUUCGCCAGUGAAGCAGGCCUGCCUCGUAUGUGGGUGGGUUGACGGUACCUGGAUAAGAAGCGCCGGCUAACUACGUG